GGGGCUAUAGCUCAGUUGGGAGAGCGCCUGGAUCGCACCCAGGAGGUCGCCGGUUCGAGCCCGGCUAGCUCCACAA
RNAcentral lists this transfer RNA (76 nucleotides) under Actinomycetes bacterium. RNAcentral's name for it is "Actinobacteria bacterium tRNA-Ala". It matches the Rfam family "tRNA". Rfam says of the family: Transfer RNA (tRNA) molecules are approximately 80 nucleotides in length. Their secondary structure includes four short double-helical elements and three loops (D, anti-codon, and T loops). Lineage: Bacteria; Bacillati; Actinomycetota; Actinomycetes. The record is from RNAcentral.